Molecule: ribosomal RNA, 560 nt
Filed under: Candidatus Atelocyanobacterium thalassae
Lineage: Bacteria; Bacillati; Cyanobacteriota; Cyanophyceae; Chroococcales; Aphanothecaceae
Description: bacterial SSU rRNA
Rfam family: Bacterial small subunit ribosomal RNA
Source: RNAcentral
UAGUCUGGUGCCAGCAGCCGCGGUAAUACGGAGGAUGCAAGCGUUAUCCGGAAUCAUUGGGCGUAAAGCGUCCGCAGGUGGUUUCCAAAGUCUGCUGUUAAAGACUGGAGCUCAACUCCGGAACGGCGGUGGAAACUUGGAAACUAGAGUUCGGUAGGGGUAGCAGGAAUUCCCAGUGUAGCGGUGAAAUGCGUAGAUAUUGGGAAGAACAUCGGUGGCGAAGGCGUGCUACUGGACCGUAACUGACACUCAGGGACGAAAGCUAGGGGAGCGAAAGGGAUUAGAUACCCCUGUAGUCCUAGCUGUAAACGAUGGAAACUAGGUGUGGCUUGUAUCGACCCGAGCCGUGCCGUAGCUAACGCGUUAAGUUUCCCGCCUGGGGAGUACGCACGCAAGUGUGAAACUCAAAGGAAUUGACGGGGGCCCGCACAAGCGGUGGAGUAUGUGGUUUAAUUCGAUGCAACGCGAAGAACCUUACCAGGGCUUGACAUGUCGCGAAUCUCGGUGAAAGCUGAGAGUGCCUUCGGGAGCGCGAACGCAGGUGGUGCAUGGCCGUUCUU